Molecule: non-coding RNA, 34 nt
Filed under: Trypanosoma brucei brucei
Lineage: Eukaryota; Euglenozoa; Kinetoplastea; Trypanosomatida; Trypanosomatidae
Source: RNAcentral
GAAGGGAUGCUAUAUCCCGUAACUUGUGUAUGAG